UGAUAAACAGUAAUCUCAGUCUAAAUCCCUUAGGAUUAGGGCCUAAAAUCAUUCGUAGGCAAUAGAGAUUCCUAUUAGUCUGUUAUCCACUCUGAUAGGAUUGGAUGAGGUCUAAAAUAUUUUGUUUUCAAAUAUUUCCUGAAUAUCUCAGAUGUUACAGUUUUGGGGCAUUUUCAACUGCUCUAUUUUGCCCAUAUUUUUGGGGAAGUGCAGAAGUUAUGUAGUCUGUUAAAACACAGGAUGAAUUAUAUGGA
This is a long non-coding RNA of Oxyura jamaicensis (ruddy duck), 254 nucleotides long. RefSeq lists it as uncharacterized. Lineage: Eukaryota; Metazoa; Chordata; Aves; Anseriformes; Anatidae. The transcript is spliced from 3 exons. The record is from RefSeq and is a predicted model, not a curated record.